RNAcentral lists this ribosomal RNA (395 nucleotides) under uncultured Chlamydomonadales. RNAcentral describes it as "partial small subunit ribosomal RNA". It matches the Rfam family "Eukaryotic small subunit ribosomal RNA", at positions 30 to 432 of the family's 1831-position model. Lineage: Eukaryota; Viridiplantae; Chlorophyta; Chlorophyceae; Chlamydomonadales. The record is from RNAcentral.
GCUUGUCUCAAAGAUUAAGCCAUGCAUGUCUUAGUGUAAAUAACUCUUAUGAAACUGCGAAUGGCUCAUUAAAUCAGUUAUCGUUUAUUUGAUGGUCCCUUACUACAUGGAUAACCGUAGUAAUUCUAGAGCUAAUACAUGCAAAAAGCCUGGACUUCUGGAACAGGCGUAUUUAUUAGAUAUACAAACCAACCGCUUCGGCGACCUUGGGUGACUCAUAAUAACUCCUCGAAUCGCAUGGCCUUGCGCCGGCGAUGUUUCAUUCAAAUUUCUGCCCUAUCAAUUUGAUGGUAGGAUAGAGGCCUACCAUGGUGGUAACGGGUGACGGAGAAUUAGGGUUCGAUUCCGGAGAGGGAGCCUGAGAAACGGCUACCACAUCCAAGGAAGGCAGCAGG